CUGGCUCAGGAUGAACGCUGGCGGCGUGCUUAACACAUGCAAGUCGAGCGGAGAAUAUUAAGUUGAGAGCUUCGGCAGGAUUCUUAAUAAUCUUAGCGGCGGACGGGUGAGUAGCGUGUGGGCAACCUGCCCUGUACUGUGGAAUAAUCACUGGAAACGGUGACUAAUACCGCAUGUCAUCACGAGGAGGCAUCUCUUUGUGAGAAAAGGAUUUAUUCGGUACAGGAUGGGCCCGCAUCUGAUUAGCUAGUUGGUGAGAUAACAGCCCACCAAGGCAACGAUCAGUAGCCGACCUGAGAGGGUGAUCGGCCACAUUGGGACUGAGACACGGCCCAAACUCCUACGGGAGGCAGCAGUGGGGAAUAUUGCACAAUGGGCGAAAGCCUGAUGCAGCAACGCCGCGUGAAGGAUGAAGGGUUUCGGCUACGUAAACUUCUAUCAAUAGGGACGAAAAAAUGACGGUACCUAAAUAAGAAGCCCCGGCUAACUACGUGCCAGCCGCAGC
Molecule: ribosomal RNA, 505 nt
Filed under: uncultured bacterium
Lineage: Bacteria
Description: bacterial SSU rRNA
Rfam family: Bacterial small subunit ribosomal RNA
Source: RNAcentral